This 377-nucleotide ribosomal RNA is filed under the name uncultured bacterium. RNAcentral's name for it is "bacterial SSU rRNA". It matches the Rfam family "Bacterial small subunit ribosomal RNA", at positions 523 to 898 of the family's 1533-position model. The record is from RNAcentral.
ACACGUAGGGGGCGAGCGUUGUCCGGAAUUACUGGGCGUAAAGGGCGUGUAGGCGGUUUGCCAAGUCAGGUGUGAAAUCUUAAGGCUCAACCUUAAGACUGCGCCUGAAACUGGCAGGCUUGAGGGCAGGAGAGGAGAGCGGAAUUCCCAGUGUAGCGGUGAAAUGCGUAGAUAUUGGGAGGAACACCAGUGGCGAAGGCGGCUCUCUGGACUGUACCUGACGCUGAGGCGCGAAAGCGUGGGGAGCAAACAGGAUUAGAUACCCUGGUAGUCCACGCCGUAAACUAUGGGUGCUAGGUGUUGGAGGUAUCGAACCCUCCAGUGCCGCAGCAAACGCAAUAAGCACCCCGCCUGGGGAGUACGGCCGCAAGGUUGAA